GUGGGGAAUUUUGGACAAUGGGCGCAAGCCUGAUCCAGCAAUGCCGCGUGCAGGAAGAAGGCCUUCGGGUUGUAAACUGCUUUUGUACGGAACGAAAAGGCUCUGGUUAAUACCUGGGGCUCAUGACGGUACCGUAAGAAUAAGCACCGGCUAACUACGUGCCAGCAGCCGCGGUAAUACGUAGGGUGCAAGCGUUAAUCGGAAUUACUGGGCGUAAAGCGUGCGCAGGCGGUUUUGUAAGACAGGCGUGAAAUCCCCGGGGUCAACCUGGGAAUGGCGCUUGUGACUGCAAGGCUGGAGUGCGGCAGAGGGGGAUGGAAUUCCGCGUGUAGCAGUGAAAUGCGUAGAUAUGCGGAGGAACACCGAUGGCGAAGGCAAUCCCCUGGGCCUGCACUGACGCUCAUGCACGAAAGCGUGGGGAGCAAACAGGAUUAGAUACCCUUGUAGUCC
RNAcentral lists this ribosomal RNA (450 nucleotides) under uncultured bacterium. Its description in RNAcentral is "partial 16S ribosomal RNA". It matches the Rfam family "Bacterial small subunit ribosomal RNA", at positions 354 to 796 of the family's 1533-position model. The record is from RNAcentral.